GCGGACGGGUGAGUAACACGUGGGUAACCUACCUAUAAGACUGGAAUAACUCCGGGAAACCGGGGCUAAUGCCGGAUAACAUGUUGAACCGCAUGGUUCUACAGUGAAAGGCGGCUUUGCUGUCACUUAUAGAUGGACCCGCGCCGUAUUAGCUAGUUGGUGAGGUAACGGCUCACCAAGGCAACGAUACGUAGCCGACCUGAGAGGGUGAUCGGCCACACUGGAACUGAGACACGGUCCAGACUCCUACGGGAGGCAGCAGUAGGGAAUCUUCCGCAAUGGGCGAAAGCCUGACGGAGCAACGCCGCGUGAGUGAUGAAGGUCUUCGGAUCGUAAAACUCUGUUAUUAGGGAAGAACAAAUGCGUAAGUAACUGUGCGCGUCUUGACGGUACCUAAUCAGAAAGCCACGGCUAACUACGUGCCAGCAGCCGCGGUAAUACGUAGGUGGCAAGCGUUAUCCGGAAUUAUUGGGCGUAAAGCGCGCGUAGGCGGUUUUUUAAGUCUGAUGUGAAAGCCCACGGCUCAACCGUGGAGGGUCAUUGGAAACUGAAAAACUUGAGUGCAGAAGAGGAAAGUGGAAUUCCAUGUGUAGCGGUGAAAUGCGCAGAGAUAUGGAGGAACACCAGUGGCGAAGGCGACUUUCUGGUCUGUAACUGACGCUGAUGUGCGAAAGCGUGGGGAUCAAACAGGAUUAGAUACCCUGGUAGUCCACGCCGUAAACGAUGAGUGCUAAGUGUUAGGGGGUUUCCGCCCCUUAGUGCUGCAGCUAACGCAUUAAGCACUCCGCCUGGGGAGUACGGCCGCAAGGCUUAAACUCAAAGGAAUUGACGGGGACCCGCACAAGCGGUGGAGCAUGUGGUUUAAUUCGAAGCAACGCGAAGAACCUUACCAAAUCUUGACAUCCUUUGACCGCUCUAGAGAUAGAGUCUUCCCCUUCGGGGGACAAAGUGACAGGUGGUGCAUGGUUGUCGUC
This 974-nucleotide ribosomal RNA is filed under the name Staphylococcus auricularis. Its description in RNAcentral is "bacterial SSU rRNA". It matches the Rfam family "Bacterial small subunit ribosomal RNA", at positions 98 to 1056 of the family's 1533-position model. Lineage: Bacteria; Bacillati; Bacillota; Bacilli; Caryophanales; Staphylococcaceae. The record is from RNAcentral.